Molecule: small nucleolar RNA, 101 nt
Organism: Girardinichthys multiradiatus
Lineage: Eukaryota; Metazoa; Chordata; Actinopteri; Cyprinodontiformes; Goodeidae
Product: small nucleolar RNA SNORD16
Exons: 1
Source: RefSeq, a predicted model, not a curated record
UGCUAUGAUGGUGUAAUUUGCGUCUGAUCUUGUUGAAUGGCGACAGUUGCCUGCUGUCAUUAAGCCAUCACAGGGUAUUGAUGAGUGAUAAACUCUGAGCA